This 490-nucleotide ribosomal RNA is filed under the name uncultured bacterium. RNAcentral describes it as "partial 16S ribosomal RNA". It matches the Rfam family "Bacterial small subunit ribosomal RNA", at positions 28 to 507 of the family's 1533-position model. The record is from RNAcentral.
GAUGAACGCUAGCGAUAGGCUUAACACAUGCAAGUCGAGGGGCAGCAUGGUCUUAGCUUGCUAAGGCUGAUGGCGACCGGCGCACGGGUGCGUAACGCGUAUGCAACUUGCCUCACAGAGGGGGAUAACCCGUCGAAAGACGGACUAAUACCGCGUACACUCUAUGUUGGGCAUCCAAUGUAGAGGAAAUGAAAUUCGCUGUGAGAUAGGCAUGCGUCCCAUUAGCUAGUUGGUGAGGUAACGGCUCACCAAGGCGACGAUGGGUAGGGGAACUGAGAGGUUGAACCCCCACACUGGUACUGAGACACGGGCCAGACUCCUACGGGAGGCAGCAGUGAGGAAUAUUGGUCAAUGGGCGAGAGCCUGAACCAGCCAAGUCGCGUGAAGGAUGACUGUCUUAUGGAUUGUAAACUUCUUUUAUACGGGAAUAACAAGAGUCACGUGUGGCUCCCUGCAUGUACCGUAUGAAUAAGCAUCGGCUAACUCCGUG